GACUGAUGGUCGAAUGGUAAUGUAGUUGGCUCUCACCAAAUAGUUCCGGAUUCGAUCCCCGGUCGUGGCA
Rhamnusium bicolor is the source of this 70-nucleotide non-coding RNA. Lineage: Eukaryota; Metazoa; Arthropoda; Insecta; Coleoptera; Cerambycidae. The record is from the annotation of a GenBank genome assembly.